This 440-nucleotide ribosomal RNA is filed under the name uncultured bacterium. RNAcentral describes it as "partial 16S ribosomal RNA". It matches the Rfam family "Bacterial small subunit ribosomal RNA", at positions 338 to 795 of the family's 1533-position model. The record is from RNAcentral.
CCUACGGGAGGCUGCAGUGGGGAAUAUUGGACAAUGGGGGGAACCCUGAACCAGCGACGCCGCGUGAGUGAAGGAGUAUUACGGUAUGUAAAGCUCUAUCAGCAGGGAAGAAAAUGACGGUACCUGACUAAGAAGACCCGGCUAACGACGUGACAGAAGCCGAGGUAAGACGUAGGGGGCAAGCGUUAUCCGGAUUUACUGGGUGUAAAGGGAGCGUAGACGGUGGAGCAAGUCUGAUGUGAAAGGUCGGGGCCCAACCCCGGGACUGCAUUGGAAACUGUUGAACUGGAGUACAGGAGAGGUGAGCGGAAUGCCUAGUGUAGCGGUGAAAUGCGUAGAUAUUAGGAGGAACACCAGUUGCGAAGGCGUCUUACUGGACUGUAACUGACGUUGAGGCUCGAAAGCGUGGGGAGCAAACAGGAUUAGAUACCCGAGUAGUC